GAGUUUGAUCGUGGCUCAGAGUGAACGCUGGCGGUAGGCCUAACACAUGCAAGUCGAACGGUAACAGGUCUUUCGGGAUGCUGACGAGUGGCGGACGGGUGAGGAAUACAUCGGAAUCUGCUCAGUCGUGGGGGAUAACGCAUGGAAACGUGCGCUAAUACCGCAUACGACCUUCGGGUGAAAGCAGGGGAAUCUCUCGGGAUCCUUGCGCGAUUGAAUGAGCCGAUGUCGGAUUAGCUAGUUGGUAGGGUAAAAGCCUACCAAGGCCACGAUCCGUAGCUGGUCUGAGAGGAUGAUCAGCCACACUGGGACUGAGACACGGCCCAGACUCCUGCGGGAGGCAGCAGUGGGGAAUAUUGGACAAUGGGGGCAACCCUGAUCCAGCCAUACCGCGUGGGUGAAGAAGGCCUUCUGGGUUGUAAAGCCCUUUUGUUGGGGAAGAAAAACAACGGGUUAAUACCCCGUUGGUAUGACGGUACCCAAAGAAUAAGCACCGGCUAACUUCGUGCCAGCAGCCGCGGUAAUACGAAGGGUGCAAGCGUUACUCGGAAUUACUGGGCGUAAAGGGUGCGUAGGUGGUUGCGCCAGUCUGUCGUGAAAGCCCUGGGCUUAACCUGGGAAUGGCGAUGGAAACUGUGCAACUAGAGUGUGACAGAGGGUGGUGGAAUUCCUGGUGUAGCAGUGAAAUGCGUAGAGAUCAGGAGGAACAUUCGUGGCGAAGGCGGCCACCUGGGUCAACACUGACACUGAGGCACGAAAGCGUGGGGAGCAAACAGGAUUAGAUACCCUGGUAGUCCACGCCCUAAACGAUGCGAACUGGAUGUUGGGUCCAACUUGGGAUUCAGUAUCGAAGCUAACGCGUUAAGUUCGCCGCCUGGGGAGUACGGUCGCAAGACUGAAACUCAAAGGAAUUGACGGGGGCCCGCACAAGCGGUGGAGUAUGUGGUUUAAUUCGAUGCAACGCGCAGAACCUUACCUGGCCUUGACAUGCACGGAACCUUUG
RNAcentral lists this ribosomal RNA (1003 nucleotides) under uncultured Lysobacterales bacterium. Its description in RNAcentral is "bacterial SSU rRNA". It matches the Rfam family "Bacterial small subunit ribosomal RNA", at positions 9 to 1001 of the family's 1533-position model. Lineage: Bacteria; Pseudomonadati; Pseudomonadota; Gammaproteobacteria; Lysobacterales. The record is from RNAcentral.